AUUUAUUUAGUAUAUUAAAGUACAUUUGAUUUCCAAUUAAAUAGUCUAUAAUUUUAGAAUAAAUA
This 65-nucleotide transfer RNA is filed under the name Decimiana sp. Its description in RNAcentral is "tRNA-Gly". The record is from RNAcentral. Lineage: Eukaryota; Metazoa; Arthropoda; Insecta; Mantodea; Acanthopidae.